CCGAGUCGUCGACACGAGUUGUUGCUGGUUCUCUAGGGAGCAUGUGCACGCCUUGUCAUCUUUAUAUCUCCACCUGUGCACUUUUUGUAGACCUUUCAGGUCUAUGUUGCUUCAUUUACCCCAAUGUAUGUUAAUAGAAUGUUGUGCCUAUAUAAUAUAUA
RNAcentral lists this unclassified non-coding RNA (161 nucleotides) under uncultured Cortinarius. RNAcentral's name for it is "sequence contains ITS1". Lineage: Eukaryota; Fungi; Basidiomycota; Agaricomycetes; Agaricales; Cortinariaceae. The record is from RNAcentral.